Long non-coding RNA from Triticum aestivum (bread wheat), 1116 nucleotides. RefSeq lists it as uncharacterized. The transcript has 6 exons. The record is from RefSeq and is a predicted model, not a curated record. NCBI's taxonomy places the organism in Eukaryota, Viridiplantae, Streptophyta, Magnoliopsida, Poales, Poaceae.
GGACAGAGGGAUGAGAAACAGAUCUUGCCGAUUCCCCUUAUCUCUCCCACCUCGUCCUUUAUCCCUCCCACCUCACCGCCACCCACCACCUCCUCUUCCUUCUCCGACCCACCUCGCCGCCGGCCCUCCCCCUCCUCUCCACCCACCUCGCAGCUCCGGAGGCUGCAGUAUCCGUAGCAUCUCCUACCCGCCCAUCCCUCUCGCCUCCCAUCUCUCUCUUCACGCUGCUCCUCGCUGCGCCACCGGCGACGGCUGAUUCAGGCGACGCUCGGCGAAUCCCGCCACCGCGAAGCACAACCCGAGCUCUCCUCGCACCGCGGCGCCCUCCCAUCCGGCUAGAUCCGACGCUCGAAGCCACCAAAGCCCACCCGCGACCCCCACCCCCCAUGGCUAGGGUUUCGGGCAUAGGCGACGGCGCCGGUUGCCAUGUCCUCCUCCUCUCGUCCGAUGUGGAGGGAGGAACGGCCAGUGGACAACCUUGCUGCUGCUCGGGAUGAAGCAGACAUGGAGCCAGUGCAGGUUGAUGCAGCGCUAUGAGGCUUGGUCGCUUGGAUGCGGUCCUGGAGGCAUAAAACGCACAUGAUGUUCACAAGCAUGGUGGCAGUAAGAUCUGUUGGCCGGUUCCUAAUGAGCUCCAAAACAGAGAAGCGCCAUGAUGUACCAUGGCUUGAGGAGAUGCAUAUGUCGGCAUUUCUUUGUGUAUUGCUGGAACAUGGUUUGCAUCACCACAUUCUAAGUGUAUAAUGUGAAGGUGGACAGUUCAGCAUAAUUACUAACGGAAUUUGAUACCUUUCAACGAAACGAUUCAAAAGAUAUAUGGAUGAUUAUAUGGGUGCGUGGCAAGUAUACUGCAAUGAUGAUGAAGUUCCAGUUCAUGAUGAUGGAUGCUUUUGGUUUUGUUAAGUACUAGGGACAUUGUUGAUGUUGCUAGAUGAUGUUCCUCAGUUACGUUUUAGUUUAGUUGUAGGGAUGUUGAUGGAUUCUUUCAGUUAAAGUUUCGCUUCGCUGUGAAGAAAAUAUUUAGAUUAUGCAGCAUAUUUGGAUGAUGUUCCUCAUGUAAUAUCCACUACUGUAAUCCAAAAGUUUUAUCCAAUAUAUGAUUUCUUCCCCUCCUGA